CCUACGGGUGGCAGCAGUGAGGAAUAUUGGUCAAUGGUCGGGAGACUGAACCAGCCAAGCCGCGUGAGGGAGGAAGGUACAGAGUAUCGUAAACCUCUGUUGUCAGGGAACAAAGGCGGGGACGUGUCCCCGGAUGAGUGUACCUGAAGAAAAAGCAUCGGCUAACUCCGUGCCAGCAGCCGCGGUAAUACGGAGGAAGCGAGCGUUAUCCGGAUUUAUUGGGUUUAAAGGGUGCGGAGGCGGUCUGUUAAGUCAGCGGUCAAAGCCCGGGGCUCAACCCCGGGACGGCGGUUGAACCGGGCAGUCUAGAGUUGGAGAGAGGUAUGCGGAAGGCGCGGUGUAGCGGUGAAAUGCGUAGAUAUCGCGCAGAACUCCGAUUGCGAAGGCAGCAUGCCGGCUCCAAACUGACGCUGAGGCACGAAAGCGUGGGUAUCGAACAGGAUUAGAUACCCGUGUAGUC
Molecule: ribosomal RNA, 460 nt
Filed under: uncultured bacterium
Lineage: Bacteria
Description: partial 16S ribosomal RNA
Rfam family: Bacterial small subunit ribosomal RNA
Source: RNAcentral